RNAcentral lists this transfer RNA (76 nucleotides) under Gammaproteobacteria bacterium. RNAcentral describes it as "tRNA-Lys". It matches the Rfam family "tRNA". From Rfam's summary of the family: Transfer RNA (tRNA) molecules are approximately 80 nucleotides in length. Their secondary structure includes four short double-helical elements and three loops (D, anti-codon, and T loops). The record is from RNAcentral. Lineage: Bacteria; Pseudomonadati; Pseudomonadota; Gammaproteobacteria.
GUGGAACUAGCUCAGUGGAAAGAGCAACGAGCUUUUGACUCGUGUGUCAUGGGUUCGACUCCCAUGUUCCUCACCU